CCUACGGGCUGCUGCAGUGAGGAAUAUUGGUCAAUGGGCGCGAGCCUGAACCAGCCAAGUAGCGUGAAGGAUGACUGCCCUACGGGUUGUAAACUUCUUUUAUAAAGGAAUAAAGUGAGGCACGUGUGCCUCUUUGUAUGUACUUUAUGAAUAAGGAUCGGCUAACUCCGUUCCAGCAGCCGCGGUAAUACGGAGGAUCCGAGCGUUAUCCGGAUUUAUUGGGUUGAAAGGGAGCGUAGAUGGGUUGUUAAGUCAGUUGUGAAAGUUUGUGGAUCAACCGUAAAAUUGCAAUUGAUACUGGCAGUCUUGAGUACAGUUGAGGUAGGCGGAAUUCGUGGUGUAGCGGUGAAAUGCUUAGAUAUCACGAAGAACUCCGAUGGCGAAGGCAGCUUACUAAACUGUCACUGACAUUGAUGCUCGAAAGUGUGGGUAUCAAACAGGAUUAGAUACCCCUGUAGUC
This 460-nucleotide ribosomal RNA is filed under the name uncultured bacterium. RNAcentral's name for it is "partial 16S ribosomal RNA". It matches the Rfam family "Bacterial small subunit ribosomal RNA", at positions 338 to 795 of the family's 1533-position model. The record is from RNAcentral.